This 466-nucleotide unclassified non-coding RNA is filed under the name Hevea brasiliensis (rubber tree). Lineage: Eukaryota; Viridiplantae; Streptophyta; Magnoliopsida; Malpighiales; Euphorbiaceae. The record is from RNAcentral.
UUAUGGUCUCUGCUUAAUUUUCUCCUCCCAAAUAUUUUUAAUUCAGUUCAGAACUUUGAGGAAUGGUUCAAUGCUCCUUUCGCGGAUAGGGGUGAUGUUACUCUUACUGACGAGGAGCAGUUGUUGAUCAUUCGGCGUUUGCAUCAUGUUAUUAGGCCGUUUAUACUGAGGAGGAAAAAAGAUGAGGUGGAGAAAUACCUCCCUGGGAAGUCCCAAGUUAUACUGAAAUGUGAUAUGUCAGCAUGGCAGAAAGUUUAUUACCAACAAGUUACGGAAAUGGGCAGAGUUGGCCUACAUACUGGCUCUGGGAAAUCAAAAAGUCUACAGAACUUAUCCAUGCAGCUCAGAAAGUGUUGUAACCACCCAUACCUAUUUGUUGGAGAAUAUAAUAUAUGGCGGAGGGAAGAAAUCAUGAGAGCUUCUGGAAAGUUUGAACUACUUGAUCGUUUACUCCCAAAACUUCGAG